AAGUAAAAGUCGUAACAAGGUUUCGGUAGGUGAACCUGCGGAAGGAUCAUUACAGUAUUCUUUUGCCAGCGCUUAACUGCGCGGCGAAAAACCUUACACACAGUGUCUUUUUGAUACAGAACUCUUGCUUUGGUUUGGCCUAGAGAUAGGUGGGGCCAGAGGUUUAACAAAACACAAUUUAAUUAUUUUUACAGUUAGUCAAAUUUUGAAUUAAUCUUCAAAACUUUCAACAACGGAUCUCUUGGUUCUCGCAUCGAUGAAGAACGCAGCGAAAUGCGAUAAGUAAUAUGAAUUGCAGAUUUUCGUGAAUCAUCGAAUCUUUGAACGCACAUUGCGCCCUCUGGUAUUCCAGAGGGCAUGCCUGUUUGAGCGUCAUUUCUCUCUCAAACCCCCGGGUUUGGUAUUGAGGGAUACUCUUAGUCGGACUAGGGGUUGGCUGGAAAAGUAUUGGCAUGGGUAGUACGGGAUAGGGCGGUGGACCUCUCAAGGUAUUAGGUUUAUCCAACUCGUUGAAUGGUGUGGCGGGAUAUUUCUGGUAUUUGGGCCCGGCCUUACAACAACCAA
This 564-nucleotide ribosomal RNA is filed under the name Meyerozyma guilliermondii. RNAcentral's name for it is "eukaryotic LSU rRNA". The stretch from base 222 to 375 matches the Rfam family "5.8S ribosomal RNA". Lineage: Eukaryota; Fungi; Ascomycota; Pichiomycetes; Serinales; Debaryomycetaceae. The record is from RNAcentral.